RNAcentral lists this non-coding RNA (30 nucleotides) under Mus musculus (house mouse). Lineage: Eukaryota; Metazoa; Chordata; Mammalia; Rodentia; Muridae. The record is from RNAcentral.
UACUUGUCCUCCACGAGCAGGCAAAAGAAU